UCCUCGGUAGCUCAAUGGUAGAGCACCCGGCUGUUAACCGGGUGGUUGUUGGUUCGAAUCCAACCCGGGGAGCCA
This 75-nucleotide transfer RNA is filed under the name Bacillota bacterium. Its description in RNAcentral is "Firmicutes bacterium (anaerobic digester metagenome) tRNA-Asn". It matches the Rfam family "tRNA". From Rfam's summary of the family: Transfer RNA (tRNA) molecules are approximately 80 nucleotides in length. Their secondary structure includes four short double-helical elements and three loops (D, anti-codon, and T loops). Lineage: Bacteria; Bacillati; Bacillota. The record is from RNAcentral.